This 956-nucleotide non-coding RNA is filed under the name Moschus moschiferus (Siberian musk deer). Its description in RNAcentral is "12S ribosomal RNA". It matches the Rfam family "Bacterial small subunit ribosomal RNA", at positions 309 to 1533 of the family's 1533-position model. Lineage: Eukaryota; Metazoa; Chordata; Mammalia; Artiodactyla; Moschidae. The record is from RNAcentral.
CACAGGUUUGGUCCCAGCCUUCCUAUUGAUUCUUAAUAAACUUACACAUGCAAGCAUCCACGCCCCGGUGAAAAUGCCCUCCGAGUCAACAGAACCAAGAGGAGCAGGUAUCAAGCACACACUUUGUAGCUCAUAACACCUUGCUUAACCACACCCCCACGGGAAACAGCAGUGAUAGAAAUUAAGCCAUAAACGAAAGUUUGACUAAGUUAUAUUAAUUAGGGUUGGUAAAUCUCGUGCCAGCCACCGCGGUCAUACGAUUAACCCAAGUUAAUAGGAAUACGGCGUAAAGCGUGUUAAAGCCCUCUACCAAAUAGAGUUAAAUUUUAAUUAAGCUGUAAAAAGCCAUAAUUAUAACAAAAAUAAAUGACGAAAGUAACUCUAUAACCGCUGAUACACUAUAGCUAAGACCCAAACUGGGAUUAGAUACCCCACUAUGCUUAGCCCUAAACACAAAUAAUUAUACAACAAAAUUAUUCGCCAGAGUACUACCAGCAACAGCUUAAAACUCAAAGGACUUGGCGGUGCUUCACACCCUUCUAGAGGAGCCUGUUCUAUAAUCGAUAAACCCCGAUAAACCUUACCAAUCCUUGCUAAUACAGUCUAUAUACCGCCAUCUUCAGCAAACCCUAAAAAGGAACAAAAGUAAGCACAAUCAUAAUACACAAAAACGUUAGGUCAAGGUGUAACCUAUGGAAUGGGAAGAAAUGGGCUACAUUUUCUAUCUCAAGAAAACUCAUAUACGAAAGUUAUUAUGAAACUAAUAACCAAAGGAGGAUUUAGUAGUAAACUAAGAAUAGAGUGCUUAGUUGAAUUAGGCCAUGAAGCACGCACACACCGCCCGUCACCCUCCUCAAAUAAACAUGAUGCACCAAAACAUAUUUAAACACAUUAACUACAUGAGAGGAGACAAGUCGUAACAAGGUAAGCAUACUGGAAAGUGUGCUUGGACAAAU